This 252-nucleotide ribosomal RNA is filed under the name uncultured bacterium. RNAcentral describes it as "partial 16S ribosomal RNA". It matches the Rfam family "Bacterial small subunit ribosomal RNA", at positions 524 to 776 of the family's 1533-position model. The record is from RNAcentral.
UACAGAGGGGCCAAGCGUUGUCCGGAUUGACUGGGCGUAAAGCGCACGCAGGUGGCCGUGCAAGUGUCGUGUGAAAGCAGCUCGCUCAACGAGCUAAGGCAUGGCAGACUGCAUGGCUCGAGCCCGUGAGAGGUCGGUGGAAUUGCCGGUGUAGUAGUGAAAUGCGUAGAGAUCGGCAGGAACACCCAAGGAGAAGCCAGCCGACUGGCACGGUGCUGACACUGAGGUGCGAGAGCGUGGGGAGCAAACGGG